This 110-nucleotide ribosomal RNA is filed under the name Faecalimonas nexilis. RNAcentral describes it as "Tyzzerella nexilis partial 23S ribosomal RNA". It matches the Rfam family "Bacterial large subunit ribosomal RNA", at positions 2815 to 2925 of the family's 2925-position model. Lineage: Bacteria; Bacillati; Bacillota; Clostridia; Lachnospirales; Lachnospiraceae. The record is from RNAcentral.
AACGUCAGGUUAGUAAGACCCCUUGAAGACGACAAGGUAGAUAGGACAGAGGUGGAAGUGCAGUAAUGUAUGUAGCUGACUGUUACUAAUCGGUCGAGGGCAUAACCAAA